CCUGAUGCAGCGACGCCGCGUGAGGGAUGACGGCCUUCGGGUUGUAAACCUCUUUCAGCUCCGACGAAGCGAGAGUGACGGUAGGAGCAGAAGAAGCGCCGGCCAACUACGUGCCAGCAGCCGCGGUAAGACGUAGGGCGCAAGCGUUGUCCGGAUUUAUUGGGCGUAAAGAGCUCGUAGGCGGCGUGUCACGUCGACUGUGAAAACCCGCGGCUCAACCGCGGGCCUGCAGCCGAUACGGGCAGGCUAGAGUUCGGUAGGGGAGACUGGAAUUCCUGGUGUAGCGGUGAAAUGCGCAGAUAUCAGGAGGAACACCGGUGGCGAAGGCGGGUCUCUGGGCCGAUACUGACGCUGAGGAGCGAAAGCGUGGGGAGCGAACAGGAUUAGAUACCCUGGUAGUCCACGCUGUAAACGUUGGGCGCUAGGUGUGGGGGGCCUCUCCGGUUCUCUGUGCCGCAGCUAACGCAUUAAGCGCCCCGCCUGGGGAGUACGGCCGCAAGGCUA
This 504-nucleotide ribosomal RNA is filed under the name uncultured Actinomycetes bacterium. RNAcentral's name for it is "bacterial SSU rRNA". It matches the Rfam family "Bacterial small subunit ribosomal RNA", at positions 382 to 896 of the family's 1533-position model. The record is from RNAcentral. Lineage: Bacteria; Bacillati; Actinomycetota; Actinomycetes.